CAAAAUUUCCCCCCCUAAAAUUGGUAUCCUCAAAACACCUGAGUGUUUCUCUCUUCCACCACCGUCUUCAUCACCAUCUUCCCCUCUCUCCCUCUUUUUGCAUACAUCUCAGACUGUUUCUCAUAUUUUUUAUCCCAAUAUUUCAAAUGAAAUAUUAUUUUUCCCCCCUUCUUUUUUCGAUACCCCCAUCCCCAUAAAUCUCCCUAAAUCGAUUCCCCAGAAACCGAUUCCCCAGUAAUGCUUAGCCUUUUUAUUUUGUUCCCUUGGUGUUGGAGUUUGCAUUUUAUUGUUUAUUAACCUGAUAGGAUUUGUUUUUUCUACAAUUGCUAUUGGAUUUUCCAGGCAUAUGUGCAGAUAUAGCAGUGUCAAAGCAUGAAUACUGGUCGGCAUUGGCUCCUCUUCCAUUUGAAGUUGUUGUCUCAGCUGGACAAAAGGCUAAAGAGGAGGCCUGGGAUAAAGGCUAGUUCAUUUUCUGACUACAUCCCGUUUAAUCCCUCUUUCUUUUUAAUAUAUAUUAUUUUGACCUAUUAAAUUUUAGAACUGUUACAGGAGGUGGACAUUCAGACCGGAUUAAAAUUGUCCGGGAUCUGAAUGAUCUGACUGGAGAAGGAAAUAUUGAGAGUAUGCUUUCAGUUGAAAUGGGCCUUAGGGAAUUAGCAUCUUUGAAGGUUUAAUGUUUUGGGUUUGCACGAGUUUGAUAGUGAUCGGAAGAGGAUGUCUGUUAUAUUGGGGUUCCCAAACCAAUCCGUUAAAGUGUUUGUAAAAGGAGCUGACACAACAAUGUUUAGUGUCAUAGACAGAUCUCUGAAUACGAGUAUAAUUCGUGCAACUGAAGGCCAUCUGCAUUCUUACUCCUCAAUAGGCUUGAGAACACUUGUCAUUGGGAUGAGAGAACUGAGUACUUCAGAAUUUGAGGAAUGGCAUUCUGCAUUUGAGGUUGAGGAUGCUGUUGUACAGGCAUUAGGCAGGCAUAGGCGACUUGGUUUGCUUCAUCAAUCCGUCUUAGGCUUGGUUAACGUAUUUCUGGAGAAGAGCCAAAGUGUAUGGCGUGGAAGAUGAUAUUGCAGAAGAGCGACUUGGGUUUUGGAUUAGCCAUAGUGGACAGACCCUACUUCUCAUGAUGCUGUGGAUGGUUGUGGAUGCUAGUGAUGUGAUAAUUUUUUCUGUGAAACCCCAAGUAGGUAAUGCUAUUAGCCUGAGUGCUUCCUCUUUCAUUGCCUCUACGCGCUUCCCUUUUUGUUUUUGAAGUUCUAGAGCUGACAAUACCAUUCUUGCAGUAGGUACCUUUUUCUCAUGCUUCCUCUUUCAUUGCCUCUGUGAUACCAUUCUUACAGCACGUACUUUUUUUUUCUCAAUUAUUAUAAUGAAAGGCUAGAAACUUUAUUCUCAAUUAUUAUAAUUACUUGAUUCUCCUGGCUUACUUUAGCUUUCAAAAUUUACAGAUGCAUGCAGAAGCUGGAAAUGGUCAGUAUGAAAUGGCUUUGGGGUACACUGCUUGUACAUAUGCUGCUGACAACUUGAUUUUCAUGCGCGAAGUUGUUAGGGCUAUUGCAAAUAAACAUGGCAUGUUGGCAACGUUUGUCCCCAAGUAAGUUGUAACUUUUCUUAUUUUGGCAGGGGUUUUAGAUCAUCUUCCCUCAAUUUUGGCAUUCACAGCACCACUUUCAAAUAGUUAUGAUCGCAUACAACCUAAUACAUGGAGUGGAGCAUAUCAAUGUUGGGGCAAAGAAAACAGAGAAGCACAUUGUAUUUUUUUUUUUACCUUGCAAUGUGUAUAGUCAUAGGCAAGUUCAACUAGUUAAUAUGUUUCUCAUAUGUAUUAUUUAUUUUAGUUUUGAUUCUAAAUUUUUAUUUUUACUUUAAUAUUUACGAUAACUUGAGUUCUAACUUUUGGAUUUUAAUUCAGUUAUCAAUUUAUAUCAUAUAUCUUUCAUUGAA
Gossypium raimondii (Peruvian cotton) is the source of this 1938-nucleotide long non-coding RNA. RefSeq lists it as uncharacterized. The record is from RefSeq and is a predicted model, not a curated record. NCBI's taxonomy places the organism in Eukaryota, Viridiplantae, Streptophyta, Magnoliopsida, Malvales, Malvaceae. The transcript is spliced from 6 exons.